AUACGUAGGGGGCGAGCGUUGUCCGGAAUGAUUGGGCGUAAAGGGCGCGUAGGCGGCCCGGUAAGUCUGGAGUGAAAGUCCUGUUUUUAAGAUGGGAAUUGCUUUGGAUACUGUCGGGCUUGAGUGCAGGAGAGGUAAGUGGAAUUCCCAGUGUAGCGGUGAAAUGCGUAGAGAUUGGGAGGAACACCAGUGGCGAAGGCGGGUAACUGGACUGCAACUGACGCUGAGGCGCGAAAGUGCGGGGAGCAAACAGGAUUAGAUACCCUGGUAGUCCACACUGUAAACGAUGAAUGCUAGGUGUAAGAGGUAUCGACCCCUUUUGUGCCGGAGUCAACACAAUAAGCAUUCCGCCUGGGGAGUACGGCCGCAAGGUUGAAACUCAAAUGAAUUGGCGGGG
RNAcentral lists this ribosomal RNA (397 nucleotides) under uncultured bacterium. Its description in RNAcentral is "partial 16S ribosomal RNA". It matches the Rfam family "Bacterial small subunit ribosomal RNA", at positions 523 to 918 of the family's 1533-position model. The record is from RNAcentral.